Long non-coding RNA from Triticum dicoccoides, 358 nucleotides. RefSeq lists it as uncharacterized. Lineage: Eukaryota; Viridiplantae; Streptophyta; Magnoliopsida; Poales; Poaceae. The transcript has 3 exons. The record is from RefSeq and is a predicted model, not a curated record.
CCCCCUUUCUGUAUUGACAUACUUCUAGGAGCUGCAAUGCUCAAAUUGCCACGGAUCUUAGACUGGUGUCAAGAUGCUAUUGAUAAGAUUUUGAAUUGCAUCAAACGGUUUCAGGAAAGUGGAAGGAGUGAUGAAGAACUAAAACAUAGUUACAGUGGGCGUUUUUUAUAGGAACAAAAUUGAAGAAUUUGACAUUAACAUAAUUUUAGUACUAAAUCAGGUGUCCCUGGUUUUGUUAGCAUCAGGACAUGUUGACCUAAUUGUCCAUGGUUACACUCAUCUUCAAACGGCACAAAUUGUUUUGCUGCACAUCUUCUCUUACCAUAUGAUGAACAGAACGACGGUGCAGACAUGGAUG